Kogia breviceps (pygmy sperm whale) is the source of this 970-nucleotide non-coding RNA. NCBI's taxonomy places the organism in Eukaryota, Metazoa, Chordata, Mammalia, Artiodactyla, Physeteridae. The record is from RefSeq and is a predicted model, not a curated record.
AAAUGGUGAUUUCACAGAUUUGAAGAGUGAACAGGUGUAGAAAUGAAACAAAAUUUUUUUUGGCAUUUGCAGCACCUUGUAUAGUCUUCUGCAAACCAUCAGGAGGCUGCAUCUCUUCCUUCUUUGAACCUACACUGAAAUUUUUAUUCCCUUCGUGGCAUCAAGACACUCUACUUGUUCAAUCACUAUACUAGGAAAAGUUCAGUUCUAGUAAUAGCUACACAGCAGGAUGUCAUUUGGAAAUUUAAUGUGCUACAAUCCAGUGAUGCCACCAGUGUUGUUACUGAGGUCUGCAGUGUUGUGUUUCUCUGCUUUUUCAGUGAUUCUCUCCUUCCUUCCCCAUUACUCUUAAGAACAAGAGGUUUUAGUCCUUGUGUCCAAAGUUAACUCUUCCACUGCUUCCUCUGGGAUAGAAGUCCUUUAAAAAUAAAUCCUUUACCUUAAAAAAUGUAUAGGUUUUCCCACCUUGAAAAACUCACAAAUAACUUUAUCCUACUGUGUCAAUGAUUUUUUUCUAUAAUGUACAAAGAUAAAAUUAUCAUUUCUAGACUAUAAACUCCUUAAGAGCAGGGACUGACAGUGGUUAUCUUUUAUAAUAGCCAGUACAGUGCCAACAAUGAAGAGAAUGUACAAUAAAUGUUGAGUGAUUUCUCAAAUUAAAUUAUUAGCUUACAAAUUCAAUAAAAAUUUUAGGAGUCAUGAGUCCUCUUGUCCUAUUAUUACCCCGUGAGGAAAAACAGGUUUGAUUUGGAUUUACCCCAGUCUAUUUACAUAUAUAUAAUAACAUCUGAUUAUAAUAGCUAUCAGCAAUGUGUUCUUCCUACAAAAGACAUCAGCACAAUUUUGAUCCUAAGGCAAGCUCUUUAAGAUGCCAAAGUAAAAAUACCAAAACAUACUUCAUUCUUAUGAGGAGAGGGGAGGUAGUCUAGAGGGAGAGACAAAAGCACCAUGGCCAACAACUAAGCAACGA